UAAUUAGUACCUGUCUGGGUAGA
RNAcentral lists this microRNA (23 nucleotides) under Equus caballus (horse). Lineage: Eukaryota; Metazoa; Chordata; Mammalia; Perissodactyla; Equidae. The record is from RNAcentral.